AUUCAGUGAUCAUCGAAUUUUUGAACGCAUCUUGCGCUCCUUGGUAUUCCGAGGAGCAUGCCUGUUUGAGUGUCAAUA
RNAcentral lists this ribosomal RNA (78 nucleotides) under Tubariomyces sp. 2 BB6018. RNAcentral describes it as "partial 5.8S ribosomal RNA". It matches the Rfam family "5.8S ribosomal RNA", at positions 79 to 154 of the family's 154-position model. From Rfam's summary of the family: 5.8S ribosomal RNA (5.8S rRNA) is a component of the large subunit of the eukaryotic ribosome. It is transcribed by RNA polymerase I as part of the 45S precursor that also contains 18S and 28S rRNA. The record is from RNAcentral. Lineage: Eukaryota; Fungi; Basidiomycota; Agaricomycetes; Agaricales; Inocybaceae.